Long non-coding RNA from Dicentrarchus labrax (European seabass), 246 nucleotides. RefSeq lists it as uncharacterized. NCBI's taxonomy places the organism in Eukaryota, Metazoa, Chordata, Actinopteri, Moronidae. The transcript has 2 exons. The record is from RefSeq and is a predicted model, not a curated record.
AAUUAUCUGUUCUCAUGUCAGCCGAGCACUCCCUCAGCCCUACUGCACAGCUUUGCACUGAACCGUGCUCCAGCAUUCUUUAAACACAGUUGGUUCCUCCUAGACCGGCUCCACUGGAAGAACCACAUUGACAGGUUCCAGCUUCCAGUCCAACCCUCAGCCCCAGGUUCACACCCACCAGCCCAAGCUUGCCCAGGUCUGCACUCCCUCUCCCCCUCUUUUCAAUAAACACUAGUUUCCUAUUAA